AUGGUUAAGUUAGAAAGGGCGCACGGUGGAUGCCUUGGCACUAGGAGCCGAAGAAGGACGGGACUAACACCGAUAUGCUUUGGGGAGCUGUACGUAAGCGUUGAUCCAGAGAUUUCCGAAUGGGGGAACCCACUAUCUUUAGUCGGAUAGUAUCCUUACGUGAAUACAUAGCGUAAGGAAGGCAGACCCAGGGAACUGAAACAUCUAAGUACCUGGAGGAAGAGAAAGAAAAAUCGAUUUCCUGAGUAGCGGCGAGCGAAACGGAAAGAGCCCAAACCAAGAAGCUUGCUUCUUGGGGUUGUAGGACACUCUAUACGGAGUUACAAAGGAAUGUGGUAAACGAAGUGGUCUGGAAAGGCCCGCCAAAGAAGGUAACAGCCCUGUAAUUGAAAGCAUAUUCCCUCCAGAGUGGAUCCUGAGUACGGCGGAACACGUGAAAUUCCGUCGGAAUCCGGGAGGACCAUCUCCCAAGGCUAAAUACUCCCUAGUGACCGAUAGUGAACCAGUACCGUGAGGGAAAGGUGAAAAGCACCCCGGAAGGGGAGUGAAACAGUUCCUGAAACCGUGUGCCUACAAGUAGUUAGAGCCCGUUAAUGGGUGAUAGCGUGCCUUUUGUAGAAUGAACCGGCGAGUUACGAUUUGUUGCAAGGUUAAGCGGAAAAAGCGGAGCCGUAGCGAAAGCGAGUCUGAAUAGGGCGCAUGAGUAACAGGUCGUAGACCCGAAACCAGGUGAUCUACCCAUGUCCAGGAUGAAGGUGAGGUAAUACUCACUGGAGGUCCGAACCCACGCACGUUGAAAAGUGCGGGGAUGAGGUGUGGGUAGCGGAGAAAUUCCAAUCGAACCUGGAGAUAGCUGGUUCUCUCCGAAAUAGCUUUAGGGCUAGCCUCGAGGUAAAGAGUCGUGGAGGUAGAGCACUGUUUGGACUAGGGGCCCUUCUCGGGUUACCGAAUUCAGAUAAACUCCGAAUGCCAUGUACUUAUACUCGGGAGUCAGACUGCGAGUGAUAAGAUCCGUAGUCGAAAGGGAAACAGCCCAGACCACCAGUUAAGGUCCCAAAAUAUAUGUUAAGUGGAAAAGGAUGUGGGGUUGCAUAGACAACCAGGAUGUUGGCUUAGAAGCAGCCACCAUUGAAAGAGUGCGUAAUAGCUCACUGGUCGAGUGACCCCGCGCCGAAAAUGUACCGGGGCUAAACAUAUUACCGAAACUGUGGAUGAACCUCUUCGGAGGUUCGUGGUAGGAGAGCGUUCUAAGGGCGGUGAAGUCAGACCG
This 1270-nucleotide ribosomal RNA is filed under the name Listeria booriae. RNAcentral describes it as "partial 23S ribosomal RNA". It matches the Rfam family "Bacterial large subunit ribosomal RNA", at positions 1 to 1263 of the family's 2925-position model. The record is from RNAcentral. Lineage: Bacteria; Bacillati; Bacillota; Bacilli; Caryophanales; Listeriaceae.